GACGAACGCUGGCGGCGUGCUUAACACAUGCAAGUCGAACGAUGAAGCCUAGCUUGCUAGGUGGAUUAGUGGCGAACGGGUGAGUAAUACGUGAGUAACCUACCUUUAACUCUGGGAUAAGCCUGGGAAACUGGGUCUAAUACCGGAUACGACCAAUCUCCGCAUGGGGUGUUGGUGGAAAGCGUUAUGUAGUGGUUAUAGAUGGGCUCACGGCCUAUCAGCUUGUUGGUGAGGUAACGGCUCACCAAGGCGACGACGGGUAGCCGGCCUGAGAGGGUGACCGGCCACACUGGGACUGAGACACGGCCCAGACUCCUACGGGAGGCAGCAGUGGGGAAUAUUGCACAAUGGGCGCAAGCCUGAUGCAGCGACGCCGCGUGAGGGAUGACGGCCUUCGGGUUGUAAACCUCUGUUAGCAGGGAAGAAGAGAAAUUGACGGUACCUGCAGAGAAAGCGCCGGCUAACUACGUGCCAGCAGCCGCGGUAAUACGUAGGGCGCGAGCGUUGUCCGGAAUUAUUGGGCGUAAAGAGCUUGUAGGCGGUUUGUCGCGUCUGCUGUGAAGGCCGGGGCUUAACCCCGUGUAUUGCAGUGGGUACGGGCAGACUAGAGUGCAGUAGGGGAGACUGGAAUUCCUGGUGUAGCGGUGGAAUGCGCAGAUAUCAGGAGGAACACCGAUGGCGAAGGCAGGUCUCUGGGCUGUAACUGACGCUGAGAAGCGAAAGCAUGGGGAGCGAACAGGAUUAGAUACCCUGGUAGUCCAUGCCGUAAACGUUGGGCACUAGGUGUGGGGGACAUUCCACGUUUUCCGCGCCGUAGCUAACGCAUUAAGUGCCCCGCCUGGGGAGUACGGCCGCAAGGCUAAAACUCAAAGAAAUUGACGGGGGCCCGCACAAGCGGCGGAGCAUGCGGAUUAAUUCGAUGCAACGCGAAGAACCUUACCAAGGCUUGACAUAUACUGGACCGCAUCAGAGAUGGUGUUUCCCUUCGGGGCUGGUAUACAGGUGGUGCAUGGUUGUCGUCAGCUCGUGUCGUGAGAUGUUGGGUUAAGUCCCGCAACGAGCGCAACCCUCGUUCUAUGUUGCCAGCACGUUAUGGUGGGGACUCAUAGGAGACUGCCGGGGUCAACUCGGAGGAAGGUGGGGAUGACGUCAAAUCAUCAUGCCCCUUAUGUCUUGGGCUUCACGCAUGCUACGAUGGCCGGUACAGAGGGUUGCGAUACUGUGAGGUGGAGCUAAUCCCUAAAAGCCGGUCUCAGUUCGGAUUGGGGUCUGCAACUCGACCCCAUGAAGUCGGAGUCGCUAGUAAUCGCAGAUCAGCAACGCUGCGGUGAAUACGUUCCCGGGCCU
Molecule: ribosomal RNA, 1347 nt
Filed under: uncultured bacterium
Lineage: Bacteria
Description: bacterial SSU rRNA
Rfam family: Bacterial small subunit ribosomal RNA
Source: RNAcentral